GGAGCCACCCAGGUGCCCCAAGCAUUCAUUAAAUACUUCUCUUGGACACACCUUUAAAAAGUAGGAAAAAUCUUUAUGGAAGCCCAAAUAAGUGUUUUCCUAGCUCAGAAAAUAGGUGACCUCAAUCCGGCCCCGUCUGCUGCCUUGCCCAAGAAACUCAGUCCCUGUUUGCCCUAUUUUAAUGCAAAAUGCAGUUUUGGACACAAGUUGCCCCCAGUGGGGAGAGGGCGAGGCAAUUGCCCUCACCAUCCAGUUUCAUCUUGGCCUUUGCUGAAAUUGGCCCAGGUUCAGCGUCUACACUGAUGCCACACGCCUCCUGUAGCCUGGGCUCCUGCACCUCCCUGGGUUCCCAGGCAGUCCUGGGCUGGAGGCACAGCGAACACACACACACACACGGCUUCCCAGCAAGCUUCCCCCACCCUGCCCCAAGGCCAGGCCUUCCUCUUCCUCUGCUUUCUCCUCAGCCGGGAGCCGAGGGAGGAUGGGAGGUCCCCACCUCUCCCCUCCACAGCAGACUGUGGUCCGGAGCCCUGGAGGACUUGGCCCCUGCUUUGUAUCUGCCCUCCCAGAGGAGGAGGGUUUGCAGGGCCCAGUUUUGAGGUUAUUUGGAGCUGGUGAUCGGUGAGGUGUCUUUAAGCUGGUGGAGCCAGCUGUGCUGACUUAGUCAGCUGGCCUGGAUAAAUGCCUUUCCUUUUGUUCUCUUAAGGAAAAUAAUGUCAGAGUGCAGGACGGGCCCCUGGCGGGAGAGCUGACACCGUGGAGACGAUUCAUUAGCAGAUGCUCCGCUGAACCUCAGCUGUUCUCUCCAGUGACAUCGGUGCGACAGGGAGCUAUUUGUUCAGCUUCCGAAGGGCAAAGGACCCAGCUUGUUCUCUCUGCAGCUAGAUGAGCUGAACUGGCUGCAGGAAAACAGCCGGCAUUUGUCAGUGAGCUGCACCGACAAGAUACAGAAGACAGAGCCCAAGCAGAGAAGGGCAGCUCAGGAGCAAACAGUGCCAAGCACCGUCGAGUAAUCCUUUGCAGACUCGAUGGCAAUCAACGCCACCCAAGGGCACCGGAUGUGCCCAUAGAAACCUCUUGCAUUUCUGGCUGAACGUGGCUGUGGACUGGCGUUCGGGGAGAACAUCUGUUGUUUCCAGGCAGGCCAGACUGCCGAAUGCAAAAGUGACUCUUUUGAUAUUGAUAAAUAACGUGACUCAGGAAUCCCCCCCACAGAAAUUGUGCGAACCCUUAAUUAUCAGGGCACUUUCUCAGGGGCACAUUAGAAUAUACACUGAAUUGCGUUAUCUUCACCUUGGCCCACGCCUCUGUAACGCAGGGCGGUAAGUUGCUCUCAGAAGUUUUUGCUUUUGUUUGUAAAUCAUCAGUUCAGACUGCAGGAAGGUUUCCAGGAAUUAGGAAGAGAAAAAGCCUAGCAAAAAAUACACAGAGUGAGAUUCCUAAAGUAGGUUCCCCACCCCACCCCCACCCCCACCCCCAGCCCCCCUUCUGGCGAACGGGUCACAAGAUUGCAAUUCUAAACAAUCUCACAAUUAAUUCUUGAGCUAUGCAGCCCAAUUAGAACAAAUGCUUUCUUUCUGGUUUAAUUAGAGAUGAGUACGCGCCUGUGAGCUUAUUUGUAUAAAAUAAGCACUCAUUAAACCAGGUUUGGAUCAGGCUCAGCUUGUUAGAAAUGCCCUUGAAAAGGGUGCUUUCUCUCACUGUCUCUGGCCCUUUUAACCCCUUCAAUGCCUAGAAUGAACUUCGUAGACGUGGACGGCAUAAAAAGUAUCUUUGUGGCAACCUGGUGAACUUGAAAGAGGAGAGAUGCGUUUGCUAGAUUUGCUGGUAAAGAGGCCCUUCCUCUCACCUCUGUACGCUUGGCAUCUUCCUAACCUGCCUCACCCACCGCAGGCCGGAAAUCUGGUUGCGUCUGACGAAGGUCACUCAGCUGUAGCAAGAACAGGCUUCCAUGUGACGUGCGUUCUUGAACGUCUCACUAUCCAGAGUGUGAGCCAUGGGCCAGCAGCAGCUCUCAGGUUCACCCCAGACUUGUGAGAAUCUGCAUUUUUACAACAUCCCCAGAAAGUAAAACUUGGGUAUAACAAGAUGGCAGCAUGAGGCACGUUACCGACAAGGCUGAGGACUCCUUUGCUCCCUCAUGUCGUUCAGCCCUGGACUUUCUUCAAAGAGCCUGGGGCAAGAAGAUAUUGAUAUGUCCUUGCUUCACCACAUGGUGCCAGAAAGAGGGUUGAGCUAUAGGUAUAGCAGGUUUUAAAUUUCUCUCCUUCCGUCCUAGACACGGAGGCUAUUGUCACUGUUGAUUAGGGGACGAUGAAGGAGACCGGAUUAGCAGGUGAGUCAUCACCAGUGAGCCUUCUAGCUGGCCCUGGUCUGACUGGUAUCCUGUUAUUGCCUCUGCCCUGGUGAUGGGCUCAGCCCUGCAGCCCUCCCCACUUCGGCUGGAUGCUGGGGCAGGACCAUAGGCGUCUGCACAGCCUAGGAAGCUUGUCCCCAGCCCUGAGCUCCAGCCCAUGAAAGGCCCAUUCCAGCUCCCUUUACCUUUUGCUGAUGAAACAGAAACCUGGAGGAAGACCUGGGAGGGGACCAUUCCUCCCUCUCAGUGAGCUUUCCUUAGCCCACGAUGACCUUGUGGUACAUCAGCUCGUCAUCGUCUAAUGGCGUGUGAUGGCAGAAGGAGAUGUGAGGGAGGCAGGCUAAGGGGGGGGGGGUGGUGAGACAAUCUGGAAAAGCCAAGAGUAAGGAGCUGGGAUCAGGUAACCAUGCAGUUUGCUGGAAACCUUGAACAUGAUUCUGAAAAGUUCAACUAGAGUUCUGGAAUAAGAGGUUUAUUUAUUUAUUUAUGUAUUUAUUUAGUGCAAGUGGAGGAGGGGCACGGAAAGAAUCCCAAGCAAGCUCUGUGCUGCCAGCGUGGAGCCUGAGGUGAGGCUCCCUCCCAGAAACCGUGAAACACGGCCUGAGCCCAAAUGGAGACUUGGGUACUGCUCUCUCUCUGCCCCUCCCCGGCUCACGCUCUCCCUCUCUCCUUCGCGAAAUCAAUAAAUGAACUUUAAGCAUAAAAUAAAAUACGUUUGCUACUUUAAAAAAG
This is a long non-coding RNA of Herpailurus yagouaroundi (jaguarundi), 3088 nucleotides long. RefSeq lists it as uncharacterized. The transcript is spliced from 3 exons. Lineage: Eukaryota; Metazoa; Chordata; Mammalia; Carnivora; Felidae. The record is from RefSeq and is a predicted model, not a curated record.